GACGAACGCUGGCGGCGUGCUUAACACAUGCCAGUCGAACGGAAAGGCCCUGCUUUUGUGGGGUGCUCGAGUGGCGAACGGGUGAGUAACACGUGAGUAACCUGCCCUUGACUUUGGGAUAACUUCAGGAAACUGGGGCUAAUACCGGAUAGGAGCUCCUGCUGCAUGGUGGGGGUUGGAAAGUUUCGGCGGUUGGGGAUGGACUCGCGGCUUAUCAGCUUGUUUGUGGGGUAGUGGCUUACCAAGGCUUUGACGGGUAGCCGGCCUGAGAGGGUGACCGGGCACAUUGGGACUGAGGUACGGACCAGACUCCUACGGGAGGCAGCAGUGGGGAAUAUUGCACAAUGGGCGGAAGCCUGAUGCAGCAACGCCGCGUGCGGGAUGACGGCCUUCGGGUUGUAAACCGCUUUCGCCUGUGACGAAGCGUGAGUGACGGUAAUGGGUAAAGAAGCACCGGCUAACUACGUA
RNAcentral lists this ribosomal RNA (468 nucleotides) under uncultured bacterium. RNAcentral describes it as "partial 16S ribosomal RNA". It matches the Rfam family "Bacterial small subunit ribosomal RNA", at positions 28 to 507 of the family's 1533-position model. The record is from RNAcentral.